This 655-nucleotide ribosomal RNA is filed under the name uncultured bacterium. Its description in RNAcentral is "bacterial SSU rRNA". It matches the Rfam family "Bacterial small subunit ribosomal RNA", at positions 84 to 735 of the family's 1533-position model. The record is from RNAcentral.
UCCGCUGACGAGUGGCGAACGGGUGAGUAAUAUAUCGGAACGUGCCCUAGAGUGGGGGAUAACGUAGCGAAAGUUACGCUAAUACCGCAUACGAUCUACGGAUGAAAGUGGGGGAUCGCAAGACCUCAUGCUCAUGGAGCGGCCGAUAUCUGAUUAGCUAGUUGGUAGGGUAAAAGCCUACCAAGGCUUCGAUCAGUAGCUGGUCUGAGAGGACGACCAGCCACACUGGGACUGAGACACGGCCCAGACUCCUACGGGAGGCAGCAGUGGGGAAUUUUGGACAAUGGGGGCAACCCUGAUCCAGCAAUGCCGCGUGAGUGAAGAAGGCCUUCGGGUUGUAAAGCUCUUUUGUCAGGGAAGAAACGGUGGGAGCUAAUAUCUUCUGCUAAUGACGGUACCUGAAGAAUAAGCACCGGCUAACUACGUGCCAGCAGCCGCGGUAAUACGUAGGGUGCAAGCGUUAAUCGGAAUUACUGGGCGUAAAGCGCGCGCAGGCGGUUGUGCAAGACAGAUGUGAAAUCCCUGGGCUCAACCUAGGAAUUGCAUUUGUGACUGCACGGCUAGAGUGUGUCAGAGGGGGGUAGAAUUCCACGUGUAGCAGUGAAAUGCGUAGAUAUGUGGAGGAAUACCGAUGGCGAAGGCAGCCCCCUGGGAU